RNAcentral lists this ribosomal RNA (498 nucleotides) under uncultured bacterium. RNAcentral describes it as "partial 16S ribosomal RNA". It matches the Rfam family "Bacterial small subunit ribosomal RNA", at positions 28 to 508 of the family's 1533-position model. The record is from RNAcentral.
GAUGAACGCUGGCGGCGUGCCUAAUACAUGCAAGUCGAGCGAACGGACGAGAAGCUUGCUUCUCUGAUGUUAGCGGCGGACGGGUGAGUAACACGUGGAUAGCCUACCUAUAAGACUGGGAUAACUUCGGGAAACCGGAGCUAAUACCGGAUAAUAUUUUGAACCGCAUGGUUCAAAAGUGAAAGACGGUCUUGCUGUCACUUAUAGAUGGAUCCGCGCUGCAUUAGCUAGUUGGUAAGGUAACGGCUUACCAAGGCAACGAUGCAUAGCCGACCUGAGAGGGUGAUCGGCCACACUGGAACUGAGACACGGUCCAGACUCCUACGGGAGGCAGCAGUAGGGAAUCUUCCGCAAUGGGCGAAAGCCUGACGGAGCAACGCCGCGUGAGGGAUGAAGGGCUUCGGAUCGUAAAACUCUGUUAUUAGGGAAGAACAUAUGUGUAAGUAACGGUGCACAUCUUGACGGUACCUAAUCAGAAAGCCACGGCUAACUACGUGC